RNAcentral lists this non-coding RNA (100 nucleotides) under Trichobilharzia regenti. RNAcentral describes it as "Eukaryotic large subunit ribosomal RNA". It matches the Rfam family "Eukaryotic large subunit ribosomal RNA", at positions 2885 to 2984 of the family's 3401-position model. Lineage: Eukaryota; Metazoa; Platyhelminthes; Trematoda; Strigeidida; Schistosomatidae. The record is from Rfam by way of RNAcentral.
AAGCUCUUCCUAUCACUGUGAAGUACAAUUCAUCAAGCGCUGCAUCGUUAACCCACUAAUACGGAACACGAACUGGGUUUAAACCGUCGAGACACAGGUU